This 471-nucleotide ribosomal RNA is filed under the name Serratia symbiotica. Its description in RNAcentral is "bacterial SSU rRNA". It matches the Rfam family "Bacterial small subunit ribosomal RNA", at positions 1 to 478 of the family's 1533-position model. Lineage: Bacteria; Pseudomonadati; Pseudomonadota; Gammaproteobacteria; Enterobacterales; Yersiniaceae. The record is from RNAcentral.
UAGAGUUUGAUCCUGGCUCAGAUUGAACGCUGGCGGCAGGCCUAACACAUGCAAGUCGAGCGGUAGCACAAGAGAGCUUGCUCUCUGGGUGACGAGCGGCGGACGGGUGAGUAAUGUCUGGGAAACUGCCUGAUGGCGGGGGAUAACUAGUGGAAACGGUAGCUAAUACCGCAUAACGUCGCAAGACCAAAGUGGGGGACCUUCGGGCCUCACGCCAUCAGAUGUGCCCAGGUGGGAUUAGCUGGUAGGUGGGGUAACGGCUCACCUAGGCGACGAUCCCUAGCUGGUCUGAGAGGAUGACCAGCCACACUGGAACUGAGACACGGUCCAGACUCCUACGGGAGGUAGCAGUGGGGAAUAUUGCACAAUGGGCGCAAGCCUGAUGCAGCCAUGCCGCGUGUGUGAAGAAGGCCUUCGGGUUGUAAAGCACUUUCAGCGAGGAGGAAGGGUAAUGUGUUAAUAAGACAUUGC